UGGGGAAUUUUGGACAAUGGGCGAAAGCCUGAUCCAGCAAUGCCGCGUGUGUGAAGAAGGCCUUCGGGUUGUAAAGCACUUUUGUCCGGAAAGAAAUCCUUGGCUCUAAUACAGUCGGGGGAUGACGGUACCGGAAGAAUAAGCACCGGCUAACUACGUGCCAGCAGCCGCGGUAAUACGUAGGGUGCAAGCGUUAAUCGGAAUUACUGGGCGUAAAGCGUGCGCAGGCGGUUUGCUAAGACCGAUGUGAAAUCCCCGGGCUCAACCUGGGAACUGCAUUGGUGACUGGCAGGCUAGAGUAUGGCAGAGGGGGGUAGAAUUCCACGUGUAGCAGUGAAAUGCGUAGAGAUGUGGAGGAAUACCGAUGGCGAAGGCAGCCCCCUGGGCCAAUACUGACGCUCAUGCACGAAAAGCGUGGGGGAGCAAAACAGGAUUAGAUACCCCUGGUAGUCCACGCCCUAAAACGAUGUCAACUAGUUGUUGGGGAUUCAUUUCCUUAGUAACGUAGCUAACGCGUGAAGUUGACCGCCUGGGGAGUACGGUCGCAAGAUUAAAACUCAAAUGAAUUGACGGGGUCAUAGCUGUUUCCU
Molecule: ribosomal RNA, 590 nt
Filed under: uncultured bacterium
Lineage: Bacteria
Description: partial 16S ribosomal RNA
Rfam family: Bacterial small subunit ribosomal RNA
Source: RNAcentral